ACCUCAGACGCUGCACAGCCUCAUCCAAAACAUCGACCUCAAGCAAGCGCCGUGACAGACCAGCAGCGAUGGGCAGGCCUCUCGCCCUGUUUUCCCCUUGACUGGUUGCUCUUGUCCUGCAUAGUCGAGACCCCCCUGGCGGCCCCCCGGAGGCAAUCCCAGUUACGCGACUCCGUUUCGCCGUCUCAGUCGCUGGUUUCAAGUUAUCUCGACCUCCUCCUGCUCCCACAACAACAGCAGCAGUAGACUGACUGGCUGACUGACUGGCCGGCGCCAAAAGUCAGCCCUUAUAUUGGGGAUAUCCCGUCUUCUUGACGAAGAAGAGCAGCAAAUACCGUCUAUACGGCGAGCUUGGGAAGAGACAGGAAGGGGUGCUCUCGUCUGCCCUCUGCGAGCUAGCUAUAUUUACGCCCACGGCUCUGCUCAGAACAUGCUCGAAUUCGCCCACUGAGACGGGCCUCUUGAUCG
This 468-nucleotide small nucleolar RNA is filed under the name Trichophyton rubrum BMU01672. RNAcentral describes it as "HACA-box snoRNA". Lineage: Eukaryota; Fungi; Ascomycota; Eurotiomycetes; Onygenales; Arthrodermataceae. The record is from RNAcentral.